AACGGAGGGGGCUAGCGUUAUUCCUCUUUAUUGGGCGUAAAGGGUGCGUAGGUGAUUUUUUCGUCUGCUUGCAAAUCACAAAUUAAGCUUUGUGCGGGGGCAAAAAAAAAAUUUGAAAAGCGUCGGAGUUGACAGAAUUACUAAUGUAAAGGUAAAAUUUGAUGAUAUUAGUAGGAAUACCAAGGGCAAAAGCAGUUUUCUAGGCGUUUUUGACGUUGAUGCACUAAAGCAUGGGGAUCAAACGGG
RNAcentral lists this ribosomal RNA (246 nucleotides) under uncultured bacterium. Its description in RNAcentral is "partial 16S ribosomal RNA". It matches the Rfam family "Bacterial small subunit ribosomal RNA", at positions 524 to 776 of the family's 1533-position model. The record is from RNAcentral.